RNAcentral lists this ribosomal RNA (497 nucleotides) under uncultured bacterium. Its description in RNAcentral is "partial 16S ribosomal RNA". It matches the Rfam family "Bacterial small subunit ribosomal RNA", at positions 28 to 507 of the family's 1533-position model. The record is from RNAcentral.
GAUGAACGCUGGCGACGUGCCUAAUACAUGCAAGUAGAACGCUGAAGCUUGGUGCUUGCACCGAGCGGAUGAGUUGCGAACGGGUGAGUAACGCGUAGGUAACCUGCCUCUUAGCGGGGGAUAACUAUUGGAAACGAUAGCUAAUACCGCAUAAAAGUCGAUAUCGCAUGAUAUUGAUUUGAAAGGUGCAAUUGCAUUAAUAAGAGAUGGACCUGCGUUGUAUUAGCUAGUUGGUGAGGUAACGGCUCACCAAGGCGAGGAUACAUAGCCGACCUGAGAGGGCGGUCGGCCACACUGGGACUGAGACACGGCCCAGACGCCUACGGGAGGCAGCAGUAGGGCAUCUUCGGCAAUGGGGGCAACCCUGACCGAGCAACGCCGCGUGAGUGAAGAAGGUUUUCGGAUCGGAAAGCUCUGUUGUAAGAGAAGAACGAGUGUGAGAGUGGAAAGUUCACACUGUGACGGUAACUGACCAGAAAGGAACGGCUAACUACGUG